Molecule: ribosomal RNA, 410 nt
Filed under: uncultured bacterium
Lineage: Bacteria
Description: bacterial SSU rRNA
Rfam family: Bacterial small subunit ribosomal RNA
Source: RNAcentral
AGAGUUUGAUCCUGGCUCAGAUUGAACGCUGGCGGCAUGCCUUACACAUGCAAGUCGAACGGCAGCGCGGGGCAACCUGGCGGCGAGUGGCGAACGGGUGAGUAAUAUAUCGGAACGUACCCUGGAGUGGGGGAUAACGUAGCGAAAGUUACGCUAAUACCGCAUACGAUCUAAGGAUGAAAGUGGGGGAUCGCAAGACCUCAUGCUCCUGGAGCGGCCGAUAUCUGAUUAGCUAGUUGGCGGGGUAAAAGCCCACCAAGGCAACGAUCAGUAGCUGGUCUGAGAGGACGACCAGCCACACUGGAACUGAGACACGGUCCAGACUCCUACGGGAGGCAGCAGUGGGGAAUUUUGGACAAUGGGCGCAAGCCUGAUCCGGCAAUGCCGCGUGAGUGAAGAAGGCCUUCGCC